This is a non-coding RNA of Podarcis lilfordi (Lilford's wall lizard), 71 nucleotides long. The record is from the annotation of a GenBank genome assembly. Lineage: Eukaryota; Metazoa; Chordata; Lepidosauria; Squamata; Lacertidae.
GGGCCAUAGCUCGGUGGUAGAGCAGCUGCUUUGCAUGCAGAAGGCCCUAGGUUCAAUCCCUGGCAUCUCCA